Long non-coding RNA from Cervus elaphus (red deer), 532 nucleotides. RefSeq lists it as uncharacterized. The transcript is spliced from 3 exons. NCBI's taxonomy places the organism in Eukaryota, Metazoa, Chordata, Mammalia, Artiodactyla, Cervidae. The record is from RefSeq and is a predicted model, not a curated record.
UCACCAUCCCACCCAGCCCUGCCCUGCUCAUGGCUUCCUGCCCAAGAUCCAGGGGGAACUGCUAUCUCUGUUUAUUUGUCCAGUCGGGGGAUCAUAAUGGGAAUGUAUGCUGAAGACAUAAGACAUGCAGAUUCGAUCCCUGGAUUGGGAAGAUCCCCUGGAGGAGGUCAUGGCAAUCCAGUCCAGUAUUCUUGCCUGGAGAAUCCCACAGACAGAGGAGCCAGACAAAGCUUCAACAUACCCUUCAGGGGCACCAACACUAGCCAGUAACAUCUACUUCUCAGAGGUCUGAGUUCCAGCUCUGUAAGGAUUUUCCUAUGAAUUCCCACAGCAUCACCAGCAACAAGCAGCUCCCUCUUCUCAGAGAUCUAUAUUCCAGCACCAUGGGAAUCUCCUGCUCCAAACUUGCAGAUUUCAACAAGGUCCACUCUGUCCCUGUGUUCUUACAGCCCUGGGGUGAGACACACUUCCUAUUGUUACUCUCUCUGAGUUAUCUCAGUGUUCUCAUUUUGCUUUGGAGCCCUCUGAUGCC